GACGAACGCUGGCGGCGUGCUUAACACAUGCAAGUCGAACGGAAAGGCCUUGCUUGUUGGUUCCACGAGUGGUGAAGGGGUGAGUAACACUAGGGUGAACUGCCCCUUACUUUGGGAUAAGCCUGGGAAACUGGGUCUACUACUGGUUAGGACCACGCUGUGGCCGGUGUGUUGGGGAGAUUAGUUUCGGUGAGGGAUGAGCUCGCGGCCUAUCAGCUGGUUGGUGGGGUAAUGGCCUACCAAGGCGUCGACGGGUAGCCGGCCUGUGGGGAUGGACGUCCACCUUAGGACUGUGCGGGGGCCCACAGUCCUGCGGGAGGCAGCAGUGGGGAAUAUUGCACGAUGGGAGGAAGCGUGAUGCAUGGAGGCCGCCUGGGGGAUGACGGCCGUCGGGUUGUAAGAUACUUCCUGCCACGACGAGGCACAUGUGGUGACGGUAGUGGAAGAAGAAGCAACGGCUAACUACGUG
This 469-nucleotide ribosomal RNA is filed under the name uncultured bacterium. RNAcentral describes it as "partial 16S ribosomal RNA". It matches the Rfam family "Bacterial small subunit ribosomal RNA", at positions 28 to 507 of the family's 1533-position model. The record is from RNAcentral.